UACGGAGGGGGCGAGCGUUAUUCGGAAUUAUUGGGCGUAAAGGGCGCGUAGGCGGCCCGGUAAGUCAAAGGUGAAAUCCCUCGGCUCAACUGAGGAACUGCCUUUGAAACUGUCGGGCUUGAGGCCGGGAGGGGGUAGCGGAAUUCCCAGUGUAGCGGUGAAAUGCGCAGAUAUCGGGAGGAACACCAAUAGCGAAGGCAGCUCGCUGGGCCAAUACUGACGCUCAUGCACGAAAGCGUGGGGAGCAAACAGG
RNAcentral lists this ribosomal RNA (253 nucleotides) under uncultured bacterium. RNAcentral's name for it is "partial 16S ribosomal RNA". It matches the Rfam family "Bacterial small subunit ribosomal RNA", at positions 524 to 776 of the family's 1533-position model. The record is from RNAcentral.